This 186-nucleotide non-coding RNA is filed under the name human gut metagenome. RNAcentral describes it as "6S / SsrS RNA". It matches the Rfam family "6S / SsrS RNA". From Rfam's summary of the family: E. coli 6S RNA was the first non coding RNA to be sequenced, but its function was unknown until recently. It consists of 184 nucleotides that fold into an extended hairpin structure with a large single-stranded internal bulge. The 6S RNA specifically associates with RNA polymerase holoenzyme containing the sigma70 specificity factor. The record is from RNAcentral. RNAcentral also lists the same sequence under 1 other name.
GCCUGCCGGAUGCGUUAUUGACAGCACGUGUUUUGAACCAACACUUUUUUUAAGGGAUUUUGUCUCCGAUGGCGGAUUGCAGGCUCUCCGUGCUUUUUAGCACCCGAGAGAAGCGCGAAACCGUUGGGCAAUUGCCCACCUGUACAAACAGGUUUAAAAAUGGCUGUAAGACGGUCAGGCGGGGUA